GAGGAAAGAGGGAGGCGUGCCUAAUACAUGCAAGUCGAGCGAACAGAUGAGGAGCUUGCUCCUCUGACGUUAGCGGCGGACGGGUGAGUAACACGUGGAUAACCUACCUAUAAGACUGGGAUAACUUCGGGAAACCGGAGCUAAUACCGGAUAAUAUAUUGAACCGCAUGGUUCAAUAGUGAAAGACGGUUUUGCUGUCACUUAUAGAUGGAUCCGCGCCGCAUUAGCUAGUUGGUAAGGUAACGGCUUACCAAGGCAACGAUGCGUAGCCGACCUGAGAGGGUGAUCGGCCACACUGGAACUGAGACACGGUCCAGACUCCUACGGGAGGCAGCAGUAGGGAAUCUUCCGCAAUGGGCGAAAGCCUGACGGAGCAACGCCGCGUGAGUGAUGAAGGUCUUCGGAUCGUAAAACUCUGUUAUUGGGGAAGAACAAAUGUGUAAGUAACUAUGCACGUCUUGACGGUACCUAAUCAGAAAGCCACGGCUAACUACGUG
RNAcentral lists this ribosomal RNA (497 nucleotides) under uncultured bacterium. RNAcentral describes it as "partial 16S ribosomal RNA". It matches the Rfam family "Bacterial small subunit ribosomal RNA", at positions 28 to 507 of the family's 1533-position model. The record is from RNAcentral.